AGUGAACGCUGGCGGUAGGCCUAACACAUGCAAGUCGAACGGCAGCACAGUAAGAGCUUGCUCUUACGGGUGGCGAGUGGCGGACGGGUGAGGAAUACAUCGGAAUCUACUUUUUCGUGGGGGAUAGCGUAGGGAAACUUACGCUAAUACCGCAUACGACCUACGGGUGAAAGCAGGGGAUCUUCGGACCUUGCGCGAUUGAAUGAGCCGAUGUCGGAUUAGCUAGUUGGCGGGGUAAAGGCCCACCAAGGCGACGAUCCGUGGCUGGUCUGAGAGGAUGAUCAGCCACACUGGAACUGAGACACGGUCCAGACUCCUACGGGAGGCAGCAGUGGGGAAUAUUGGACAAUGGGCGCAAGCCUGAUCCAGCCAUACCGCGUGGGUGAAGAAGGCCUUCGGGUUGUAAAGCCCUUUUGUUGGGAAAGAAAAGCAGCAGGUUAAUACCCCGCUGUUCUGACGGUACCCAGAGAAUAAGCACCGGCUAACUUCGUG
Molecule: ribosomal RNA, 492 nt
Filed under: uncultured bacterium
Lineage: Bacteria
Description: partial 16S ribosomal RNA
Rfam family: Bacterial small subunit ribosomal RNA
Source: RNAcentral